This is a non-coding RNA of Paramarasmius palmivorus, 91 nucleotides long. NCBI's taxonomy places the organism in Eukaryota, Fungi, Basidiomycota, Agaricomycetes, Agaricales, Marasmiaceae. The record is from the annotation of a GenBank genome assembly.
GGCCUGAUGGUCUAGUAGUAUGAUUCUCGCUUUGGGUAGAAGACAAAGGGAUGUCUGCGAGAGGUCCUGGGUUCAAUUCCCAGUCAGGCCC